This is a long non-coding RNA of Schistocerca piceifrons (Central American locust), 196 nucleotides long. RefSeq lists it as uncharacterized. NCBI's taxonomy places the organism in Eukaryota, Metazoa, Arthropoda, Insecta, Orthoptera, Acrididae. The transcript is spliced from 2 exons. The record is from RefSeq and is a predicted model, not a curated record.
UCUCUCCCUCCCUCUGUGUGUGUGUGUGUGUGUGUGUGUGUGUGUGUGUGUGUGUGUGUGUGUGUGUGUGUGUGUGUGUGUGUGUGUUUUGUUUUCAGUACUUACGAUUUGAAGCCAGAAAUUGGCUACAUUGUUGUUUUUUCCUCUGUGCCACUUUGUACGUUUUAUGAAAUAAAAACUGUUAAUAUUUACAUGA